GCCGAUGUAGCUCAGUUGGUCAGAGCAGCUGAUUUGUAAUCAGCAGGUCGUGGGUUCGAAUCCCUCUAUCGGCU
RNAcentral lists this transfer RNA (74 nucleotides) under Burkholderiales bacterium. RNAcentral's name for it is "tRNA-Thr". It matches the Rfam family "tRNA". From Rfam's summary of the family: Transfer RNA (tRNA) molecules are approximately 80 nucleotides in length. Their secondary structure includes four short double-helical elements and three loops (D, anti-codon, and T loops). Further hydrogen bonds mediate the characteristic L-shaped molecular structure. tRNAs have two regions of fundamental functional importance: the anti-codon, which is responsible for specific mRNA codon recognition, and the 3' end, to which the tRNAs corresponding amino acid is attached (by aminoacyl-tRNA synthetases). tRNAs cope with the degeneracy of the genetic code in two manners: having more than one tRNA (with a specific anti-codon) for a particular amino acid; and 'wobble' base-pairing, i.e. permitting non-standard base-pairing at the 3rd anti-codon position. The record is from RNAcentral. RNAcentral also lists the same sequence under 5 other names. Lineage: Bacteria; Pseudomonadati; Pseudomonadota; Betaproteobacteria; Burkholderiales.